This 491-nucleotide ribosomal RNA is filed under the name uncultured bacterium. RNAcentral describes it as "partial 16S ribosomal RNA". It matches the Rfam family "Bacterial small subunit ribosomal RNA", at positions 29 to 506 of the family's 1533-position model. The record is from RNAcentral.
AGUGAACGCUGGCGGUAGGCCUAACACAUGCAAGUCGAACGGCAGCACAGUAAGAGCUUGCUCUUACGGGUGGCGAGUGGCGGACGGGUGAGGAAUACAUCGGAAUCUACUUUUUCGUGGGGGAUAACGUAGGGAAACUUACGCUAAUACCGCAUACGACCUACGGGUGAAAGCAGGGGAUCUUCGGACCUUGCGCGAUUGAAUGAGCCGAUGUCGGAUUAGCUAGUUGGCGGGGUAAAGGCCCACCAAGGCGACGAUCCGUAGCUGGUCUGAGAGGAUGAUCAGCCACACUGGAACUGAGACACGGUCCAGACUCCUACGGGAGGCAGAAGGGGGGAAUAUUGGACAAUGGGCGCAAGCCUGAUCCAGCCAUACCGCGUGGGUGAAGAAGGCCUUCGGGUUGUAAAGCCCUUUUGUUGGGAAAGAAAAGCAGCAGGUUAAGACCCCGCUGUUCUGACGGUACCCAAAGAAGAAGCACCGGCUAACUUCGU